Solea senegalensis (Senegalese sole) is the source of this 418-nucleotide long non-coding RNA. RefSeq lists it as uncharacterized. Lineage: Eukaryota; Metazoa; Chordata; Actinopteri; Pleuronectiformes; Soleidae. The record is from RefSeq and is a predicted model, not a curated record. The transcript is spliced from 3 exons.
GAGAUGAGGGGCUCCCAAGACCAUACGGAAGGAGCUUACUUUAAAGCAAAACAACACUGAGCCGUGCAGAUGAGGAUUAAAGUCAGAGUCUUGCACAUGAAGGAAUCCACCACCAUCGUCAUCAUCCUCAUCAUCAUCGUCCUCCUCACUGUCAGAUGUUGAAACAGCAGCAGACACGUCACACUUCACAGGUGAUUGUGGUGUGCAACAGCUGGAGAGCAGCAAACAGAGGCGUUGAGCAUGCGGAAGAGACUGGAGGCGGCAGAUGAAGAGACCACAUGAUGAUAUGAGGAAGAUGAAGUCAAGGAGAGCUGUCAGCAACCACCACCACCACCACCACCUCCUCCCUAAACACUCGCGCGCGCACAGAAACAGUGGUGAGGUCAUGGCACGAUCGUCUCACAGGCUUCUGACACUG